GAUGAACGUUAGCGGGAGGCUUAAUACAUGCAAGUCGAGCGGGAUUGGUAGCAAUACCAUGAGAGCGGCGCACGGGUGAGUAACGCGUACACGACCUACCUCUGACAGGGGGAUAGCCCUGGGAAACUGGGAUUAAUACCGCAUAUUAUUCUGAUUAAUAAAGGAUUGGAAUGAAAGUUCAGGCGGUCAGAGAUGGGUNUGCGUCUGAUUAGCUAGUUGGUAGGUAACGCCUACCAAGGCGAUGAUCAGUAGGGGCGUGAGAGCGUGGUCCCCCANACGGGUACUGAGACACGGACCCGACUCCUACGGGAGCAGCAGUAAGGAAUAUUGGACAAUGGCCGAAAGGCUGAUCCAGCCAUCCAGCGUGCAGGAAGAAGGCCCUAUGGGUUGUAAACUGCUUUUAUCAGGGAAUAAACCUCUGGAUUCACUCCGGA
This 434-nucleotide ribosomal RNA is filed under the name uncultured bacterium. RNAcentral describes it as "bacterial SSU rRNA". It matches the Rfam family "Bacterial small subunit ribosomal RNA", at positions 28 to 467 of the family's 1533-position model. The record is from RNAcentral.